CGGUAAUACGGGAGUGGCAAGCGUUAUCCGGAAUUAUUGGGCGUAAAGCGUCCGCAGGCGGCUUUUCAAGUCUGCUGUUAAAGCGUGGAGCUUAACUCCAUCAUGGCAGUGGAAACUGAAAGGCUUGAGUAUGGUAGGGGCAGAGGGAAUUCCCGGUGUAGCGGUGAAAUGCGUAGAUAUCGGGAAGAACACCAGUGGCGAAGGCGCUCUGCUGGGCCAUUACUGACGCUCAUGGACGAAAGCCAGGGGAGCGAAAGGGAUUAGAUACCCCUGUAGUCCUGGCCGUAAACGAUGAACACUAGGUGUCGGGGGAAUCGACCCCUUCGGUGUCGUAGCUAACGCGUUAAGUGUUCCGCCUGGGGAGUACGCACGCAAGUGUGAAACUCAAAGGAAUUGACGGGGGCCCGCACAAGCGGUGGAGUAUGUGGUUUAAUUCGAUGCAACGCGAAGAACCUUACCAGGGUUUGACAUCCUGCGAACCUCUUAGAAAUUUGAGGGUGCCUUCGGGAAUGCAGUGACAGGUGGUGCAUGGCUGUCGUCAGCUCGUGUCGUGAGAUGUUGGGUUAAGUCCCGCAACGAGCGCAACCCACGUUUUUAGUUGCCAGCAUUUAGUUGGGCACUCUAGAAAGACCGCCGGUGAUAAACCGGAGGAAGGUGUGGAUGACGUCAAGUCAUCAUGCCCCUUACACCCUGGGCUACACACGUACUACAAUGCUACGGACAAAGGGCAGCAAACUCGCGAGAGCUAGCAAAUCCCAUAAACCGUGGCUCAGUUCAGAUCGUAGGCUGCAACUCGCCUACGUGAAGUAGGAAUCGCUAGUAAUCGCAGGUCAGCAUACUGCGGUGAAUACGUUCCCGGG
This 860-nucleotide ribosomal RNA is filed under the name uncultured bacterium. Its description in RNAcentral is "bacterial SSU rRNA". It matches the Rfam family "Bacterial small subunit ribosomal RNA", at positions 518 to 1378 of the family's 1533-position model. The record is from RNAcentral.